GGAGUUAGCCGGUGCUUCUUCUGUGAGUGAUGUCCUUCCUGCCGGCUAUUAACCCGCAGGCCUUCUUCCUCACUGAAAGUGCUUUACAACCCGAAGGCCUUCUUCACACACGCGGCAUGGCUGGAUCAGGGUUGCCCCCAUUGUCCAAUAUUCCCCACUGCUGCCUCCCGUAGGAGUCUGGGCCGUGUCUCAGUCCCAGUGUGGCUGAUCAUCCUCUCAGACCAGCUACGGAUCGUCGCCUUGGUGAGCCGUUACCUCACCAACCAGCUAAUCCGACAUAGGCUCAUCCGAUAGCGCGAGGACCGAAGGUCCCCCGNUUUCCCCCGUAGGGCGUAUGCGGUAUUAGCCUGGGUUUCCCCAGGUUAUCCCCCACUACCGGGCAGAUUCCUAUGCAUUACUCACCCGUCCGCCGCUCGCCACCAGGGAGCAAGCUCCCCGUGCUGCCGCUCGACUUGCAUGUGUUAGGCCUGCCGCCAGCGUUCAAUCUGAGCCAGGAUCAAACUCUGA
This 507-nucleotide ribosomal RNA is filed under the name uncultured bacterium. Its description in RNAcentral is "partial 16S ribosomal RNA". The record is from RNAcentral.